RNAcentral lists this non-coding RNA (24 nucleotides) under Cricetulus griseus (Chinese hamster). The record is from RNAcentral. Lineage: Eukaryota; Metazoa; Chordata; Mammalia; Rodentia; Cricetidae.
ACAUGAACCAGGUGGAGGAGACAC